AUUAAAUAUGUAAAUAUUCAUAUGCCAUUUAUUGUAAGCCAUAUAAAAAAAAAUGUAACUUUCAGGUUCAUCCGAUUUGCUGGGAUUCUGCAUCAGUUACUCAGUCAAACUGUCAAAAUACAAUUUUAAAAGAUAAUAGUUAAUUUAGUAUUUUACACACACGCACACACACACACACACACACACACACACACAGUCUCUCACUCACUCUCUCACACACACACACACACACAGUCUCUCACUCACUCUCUCACACACACACACACACACAGUCUCUCACUCACUCUCUCACACACACACACACACACAGUCUCUCACUCACUCUCUCACACACACACACACACACAGUCUCUCACUCACUCUCUCACACACACACACACACACAGUCUCUCACUCACUCUCUCACACACACACACACACACAGUCUCUCACUCACUCUCUCACACACACACACACACACAGUCUCUCACUCACUCUCUCACACACACACACACACACAGUCUCUCACUCACUCUCUCACACACACACACACACACAGUCUCUCACUCACUCUCUCACACACACACACACACACAGUCUCUCACUCACUCUCUCACACACACACACACACACAGUCUCUCACUCACUCUCUCACACACACACACACACACAGUCUCUCACUCACUCUCUCACACACACACACACACACAGUCUCUCACUCACUCUCUCACACACACACACACACACAGUCUCUCACUCACUCUCUCACACACACACACACACACAGUCUCUCACUCACUCUCUCACACACACACACACACACAGUCUCUCACUCACUCUCUCACACACACACACACACACAGUCUCUCACUCACUCUCUCACACACACACACACACACAGUCUCUCACUCACUCUCUCACACACACACACACACACAGUCUCUCACUCACUCUCUCACACACACACACACACACAGUCACUCACUCACUCUCUCACUCUCUCACACUCAUUCACUCUCACACUCUCACUCUCACAUUCACUCACUCACACUCACUCACUCUCGCACUCACUCUCACACACUCACUCACU
Molecule: long non-coding RNA, 1069 nt
Filed under: Sinocyclocheilus anshuiensis
Lineage: Eukaryota; Metazoa; Chordata; Actinopteri; Cypriniformes; Cyprinidae
Description: lncRNA (ENSSANG00000032906.1)
Source: RNAcentral